RNAcentral lists this ribosomal RNA (610 nucleotides) under Helochares sp. 3 MTM-2009. RNAcentral describes it as "eukaryotic LSU rRNA". It matches the Rfam family "Eukaryotic large subunit ribosomal RNA", at positions 663 to 1225 of the family's 3401-position model. The record is from RNAcentral. Lineage: Eukaryota; Metazoa; Arthropoda; Insecta; Coleoptera; Hydrophilidae. RNAcentral also lists the same sequence under 1 other name.
GGACCAAGGAGUCUAGCAUGUGCGCGAGUCGUUGGGAUUUUGCGAAACCUAAAGGCGCAAUGAAAGUGAAGGUCAGCCUCGCGCAGGCCGAGGGAGGAUGGGUCGCGUCACGACGCGGCCCCGCACUCCCGGGGCGUCUCGUUCUCAUUGCGAGAAGAGGCGCACCCAGAGCGUACACGCUGGGACCCGAAAGAUGGUGAACUAUGCCUGGUCAGGACGAAGUCAGGGGAAACCCUGAUGGAGGUCCGUAGCGAUUCUGACGUGCAAAUCGAUCGUCGGAACUGGGUAUAGGGGCGAAAGACUAAUCGAACCAUCUAGUAGCUGGUUCCCUCCGAAGUUUCCCUCAGGAUAGCUGGCGCUCGCCGUUGCGAGUCUCAUCCGGUAAAGCGAAUGAUUAGAGGCAUUGGGGUCGAAACGGCCUCAACCUAUUCUCAAACUUUAAAUGGGUGAGAUCUCCGGCUUGCUCGAACUUGAAGCCGCGAGAUUUUACAUACAAGGAUCAGAGUGCCAAGUGGGCCACUUUUGGUAAGCAGAACUGGCGCUGUGGGAUGAACCAAACGCAGAGUUAAAGCGCCUAAAUCGACGCUUAUGGGAUACCAUGAAAGGCGUU